GGGAGCCGACUGUAACGUCGGCUUGGUAGAGCAUCCGUCUGAUAAGUGGAAGGUCGUAGGUCCGAUUCCUACCGCACCCACCA
RNAcentral lists this transfer RNA (83 nucleotides) under Candidatus Yanofskybacteria bacterium RIFCSPHIGHO2_01_FULL_42_12. RNAcentral describes it as "tRNA-Ile". The stretch from base 20 to 72 matches the Rfam family "tRNA", at positions 9 to 63 of the family's 71-position model. From Rfam's summary of the family: Transfer RNA (tRNA) molecules are approximately 80 nucleotides in length. The record is from RNAcentral. RNAcentral also lists the same sequence under 1 other name. Lineage: Bacteria; Candidatus Yanofskyibacteriota.